This 301-nucleotide long non-coding RNA is filed under the name Elaeis guineensis (African oil palm). RNAcentral describes it as "long non-coding RNA (EGUI_LNC011555)". Lineage: Eukaryota; Viridiplantae; Streptophyta; Magnoliopsida; Arecales; Arecaceae. The record is from RNAcentral.
CUUGUAUCUCAAGAACAUCCCGGUCUAUCAUGAGCAAUAAAAUUUAAGAUCUCGAGACCUUCAGAAUCUAACUUCCAAUAUAUUGUAAAAUUUGUUGUUUGACUAUUGUUGGAGGCUUUGGGCUAAAAUGCAUGUAUAAGAUUUAUUAAUACCGACAUUUUCGCCAAUUGGGAACGAUAGGUAGUCAUGAUUUCCUUCUCCUUCUCUGCAUCUCUGCUACUAGCCUUGGAAACCAGUGAUAGGUCAUCAGUUAAAGGUAGAAAUUUUAGGAAAUAUUGAAGUCAUCUGUUUACCAUCCCCA